RNAcentral lists this long non-coding RNA (419 nucleotides) under Junco hyemalis (dark-eyed junco). RNAcentral's name for it is "lncRNA (ENSJHYG00000018245.1)". Lineage: Eukaryota; Metazoa; Chordata; Aves; Passeriformes; Passerellidae. The record is from RNAcentral.
CUUGGCCCUGGUUCCUUCUGUUGGAUUGUCACAGGGUGUCUGUGAAAAGGACAGUGACAUGCACCAUUCUGUAGGAACCAUCAAAGAAGUUGUAUUUAGUGGCAUUUGCACUAUGGUCCUCCAGGUUCCACGAGCAUUGGCAGGUAAUCUGGGACUGAUAAACUCUGGCCAUGAAUUUCAGAUGGAGGUAUCUGUGGCUGAGCUUCUGUAUCUGCAUGGAGACAACCGGAUAAAUGAUCAGACAUUGGACCAUAUUGUAUUGGUUUUUCCUGCACAGAAAACAGUGGGAGUUCUGGACAAAGAUGAAAGGGAGAAUAUGUACUGUGAGCUGUUUGUUUUCUACUCAUAAUAUCUUUUUCAAAAGACAUUCUGUAUUUAGAACAAAUAAAAACUGCCUAUAUUUUAAUGUUGAAAGGUUG